Molecule: ribosomal RNA, 474 nt
Filed under: uncultured bacterium
Lineage: Bacteria
Description: SSU rRNA
Rfam family: Bacterial small subunit ribosomal RNA
Source: RNAcentral
AGGACGAACGCUGGCGGCGUGCUUAACACAUGCAAGUCGAGCGGAAAGGCCCUUCGGGGUACUCGAGCGGCGAACGGGUGAGUAACACGUGGGCAACCUGCCCUUAGCUCUGGGAUAGCUCCGGGAAACCGGAAUUAAUACCGGAUAUGACCUAGGCCGACAUCGGCCGUGGUGGAAAGUUUUUCGGCUAGGGAUGGACUCGCGGCCUAUCAGCUAGUUGGUGGGGUAAUGGCCUACCAAGGCGACGACGGGUAGCCGGCCUGAGAGGGCGACCGGCCACACUGGGACUGAGACACGGCCCAGACUCCUACGGGAGGCAGCAGUGGGGAAUCUUGCGCAAUGGGCGAAAGCCUGACGCAGCGACGCCGCGUGGGGGAUGAAGGCCUUCGGGUUGUAAACCCCUUUCAGCAGGGACGAAGCGAAAGUGACGGUACCUGCAGAAGAAGCGCCGGCUAACUACGCGCCAGCAGCCGC